Triticum aestivum (bread wheat) is the source of this 126-nucleotide non-coding RNA. The record is from Rfam. NCBI's taxonomy places the organism in Eukaryota, Viridiplantae, Streptophyta, Magnoliopsida, Poales, Poaceae.
AUGGUACUCACUCCGUCCGAAAAUACUUGUCGAAGAAAUAGGUAAAAAUGAAUGUAUCUAGAAACUAAAAUACGUUUAGAUACAUUCAUUUCUCCGACAAGUAUUUCCGGACGGAGGGAGUAUGAU